RNAcentral lists this unclassified non-coding RNA (229 nucleotides) under rhizosphere metagenome. RNAcentral describes it as "partial ribosomal RNA internal transcribed spacer region". The record is from RNAcentral.
GUAAGUGAACCUGCGGAAGGAUCAUUAUUGAAUGAACGUAGAGUCGGUUGUCGCUGGUCCUUUCGGGGACAUGUGCACGCCUUCUCUUUCAUCCACACACACCUGUGCACUCGUGAGACGGGAGCCCUCGGGCGUCCGUCUACUCUAUAUAAACUCAUAUCUAUAAUUUGGAUGUAAUUGAUGUAACACAUCUUUAAACUAAGUUUCAACAACGGAUCUCUUGGCUCUC